GAUGAACGCUGGCGGCGUGCCUAGCACAUGCAAGUCGAACGGAGAUUACGGACGGAAGUUUUCGGAUGGAAGACUGUAAUUCUUAGUGGCGGACGGGUGAGUAACGCGUGGGCAACCUGCCCUAUACAGGGGGAUAGCAGCUGGAAACGGCUGGUAAGACCGCAUAAGUCGGCGAGACCGCAUGGUUUUGCCGGGAUAUGAGCAAUCAGGUAUAGGAUGGGCCCGCGUCCGAUUAGCCAGUUGGCAGGGUAAAAGCCUACCAAAGCAACGAUCGGUAGCCGGACUGAGAGGUCGGACGGCCACAUUGGGACUGAGACACGGCCCAAACUCCUACGGGAGGCAGCAGUGGGGGAUAUUGCACAAUGGAGGAAACUCUGAUGCAGCGACGCCGCGUGAGUGAAGAAGUAGUUCGGUAUGUAAAGCUCUAUCAGCAGGGAAGAUGAUGACGGUACCUGACUAAGAAGCCCCGGCUAACUACGUG
Molecule: ribosomal RNA, 481 nt
Filed under: uncultured bacterium
Lineage: Bacteria
Description: partial 16S ribosomal RNA
Rfam family: Bacterial small subunit ribosomal RNA
Source: RNAcentral